This 3108-nucleotide long non-coding RNA is filed under the name Sus scrofa (pig). Its description in RNAcentral is "lncRNA (ENSSSCG00060073622.1)". Lineage: Eukaryota; Metazoa; Chordata; Mammalia; Artiodactyla; Suidae. The record is from RNAcentral.
AGUUAUGUAAAAGACCCAGGAGUGCAGCUCGGAGGACUGAGGAGAUUAAAGUGAAGCUUUGAAGCUUUGAAGGAUGCAAACAACAUUUUUCGUGGAAUUCCAAGGUAUUUUUUUGCCCAAUCAGAAGACUAGUUCACUUGCCGUGUGAAGGCAACAGUGGAAUCUUCCCCCUGCCCAAGGAGCUUCUGCUCAAUAUAAGUUUUCAUAACGGGAGUGAUUUAAGACUUCACAACUUAUGUGACACGGAAGAAACAACUUUUGCCUAAAAUACAUAAGGGCCAAAUAUAACAAAAUAUUUGUCUUUUCCAUAAAAAUCUUUAAUAUGAUCGUCAUAUUGUAGUUUCUUUAAAGAAUGCUUGUAUUCCUUGGACCUACUAGGGUGAAUUAAAUGAAAAAAAUUUAAAACACUUAAUUAAGCCUGUCCUCUGGGUAUAAAUUGACCUUUACAUGUUUACCAGAGACACCAAUUUUUUAAAUAGGUGUUAAUGACUAGCCGCUGAUUUUGGUGAAACUGCCUAAACGUUUCUUAAGAUUGAGUCAUACCUGGAGUUCCCGUGGCGCAGUGGUUAACGAAUCCGACUAGGAACCAUGAGGUUGCGGGUUCGGUCCCUGCCCUUGCUUAGUGGGUUAACGAUCCGGCGUUGCCAUGAGCUGUGGUGUAGGUUGCAGACGCUGCUCGGAUCCCGCGUUGCUGUGGCUCUGGCGUAGGCCGGUGGCUACAGCUCCGAUUCGACCCCUAGCCUGGGAACCCCCAUAUGCCGCAGGAGCGGCCCAAGAAAUAGCCAAAAAAAAAAAGAUUGAGUCAUACCUCGGCAGUAUGUAAGAAGAUGUGGUGCUGGGAUUUAGGAAGGCGCCUUGGCAAGGGUGGGGGGAGGUUGAACUUUGGUGACGUAUACCUAUCCUACAAGGCUGUUGUGAGAAUUACACACGAUAAUGUGGAUAAAAUGCCUGGAACAGAGUAAGUACUUAAUAAAUGUUAGUUCUUCAUCCUUUCAUGUUACUGAUGAUGGCCAAACACACAGUUCUUCCAGAACUUUUAUAUUAGGUCAUAUAAAUAUACAUUUUUAAGCAUUUGGCGAUCUAUCCUGAUUUUAGCAGUGUUAUUUUAUAUUGAUACUUAAGAAAAGCCCCAAUAACAUAUGUUGAAAGUGUAUAGUUUCUCAUUAAGUUAUAGGUUGAUGAUAAUUCAAAAAAUAAUGCAAAGGGUUUUGAAUUUCCUAGUGAAAUGAGACAAGGUUAAACGGUGUUCGAGAGUAGAAUAAUUACAUCAGAAUUCAACUUGCCCCAGUUUUAUUUGUGAAAUUUAAUUUAUCCCAUAAAGAUACUAAAUUGAUAAAGUAUUCUCGUAUUAGUAGAGUCCACUAAGAACAAAGUGGAGGCAUGGAGUCUGGACAUUAGAAAUGAAGGGUGUGCAGGCUGGUACAGCUUGUAGGAGUCAUGGAACUUGGAAGACAAGUUGAAAAGGACCCUGGAAACAUUUGGCUGUAGGCUGAGAAAUGCCUUUGAGAGAGUUAAAGCCGUAAUAAAUAUACCCAAGAUGUUUAAAGAAGAACCUUGUAAAAAGAAAGCAGCCACACUAGACUCUCAGCUGCUGUUCUUUCUGCCAUCCAGUUUAAGCCUCUGCAUGGUUUACAAGGUCUCCCUGUAGACAGUGGAGCAAAUAAUGUAACAGUGAGAGCUCCAGAGCAACUGUCAGGAUGAUUGUCACAGGUAAAGCAUUAAUAAGUAAGCAUAUACCUCCCCAAAGGAGAAAGAGGCUGGGUAGUGGCAGUGAGAGUUGGGGGGGGGUUGGUGUUGAUAAUUGAGACCCAGAUGUCAUAUUUUAAAAUGUCCUACUUACCUUUUAAAGUUAUUAACAUGCAUAUAAUAUAGGAAAACUAACAUUUUGGGAAAUUUGGCAUCAAUGAUGAGACUGUAUUAAGACUUUGUAUGCAAGUUAUUGUGCAAAAUUUAGUUGUAACUGCAUGGUCCGUGCUCUCCAAGAGCUUACUGUUCAGAACAAUUGGUGGGUUUGGAGAUUUAGUUAAAUUGCUUACCUGUGAUAUUGUUUUCCAUUACUUUUUAUUCAGUAAAUAUAUGUUGGAGACUUGUUAUGUGCCAGGCAUUUUCUUGCCACCAGAGGGAUACAGUGUUGAACAAAACAAAACAAAACCUUCCCUUAAGCUUAAAUUUUAUAGGAGGAAGAGAAAAAAAGACAAAUGACUUUUACUCUCAGCGAGAAGGGAAACAGUGGGUUUUGAGCAGAGGAGCGGCAUGAUUUGAUUUUGUUUUAUCAGUAUGACUCUGGCCUUCAGUUUUGAAAAUAGUGUGAGGUGAGGCAAGGAAGAAUCAGCUGGGAGGCUAUUGCCCUAAAAUCCACACGGUGAUGAUGGAGGCUCAGAUGGCAGGAGUGGUGGUGGAAGUAGGCAGAAUUAUGAUGUUUUUAAGAUAGAGCCAACUGGAUUUGCUGAUGGAUUAGCUAUGGGGUAUGAAGGAAAAAGAACAGUCAGAGAUGACUUGGAGAGUUAAAUCAUCAUUUAUGAAUACGGGGAAUCCUAUAGGAACAUCAGUCUUUUUUUUUUUAAGUUUUAUUGUAGUUGAUUUACAAUGUUGUGAUAAUUUCUGCUGUAUAACAGAGCGAUUUAGCUCUACAUGUACACAUUCAUUCUUUCCCAGAUUCUUUACCCAUACAGAUCAUCACAGAACAUUGGGCAGAGUUCCCUGUGCUACAUAGCAGGUCCCCACUGGAGGAGCAUCAGUCUUAGUGGGGAAGGUCAGGAGGUUGGCAUGGGGUGAUGUUGAGUGUGAAACAUCUAUUAAACAUCCAGGGGGAGAUGUAAAUCUGAAAAUAUGACCCUUGAGUUCAGAGAUGAGGUUUAGUCUCUUGUAGGUGGUUUAUGAAAUGAUGAGACCCAUUGAAAAAAAGUCUGAGGAGUAUCCACUGUGGUUCAGUGGUAACGAACCUGACUAGUAACCAUGAGGACAUGGGUUCGAUUCCUGACCUUACUCAGUGGGUUAAGGAUCCAGAGUUGCUGUAGCUGUGGUGUAGGCCAGCAGCUGCAGCUCUGGUUUGACCUCUAGCCUGGGAACUUCCAUAUGCUGCAGGUGCAGCCCUAAAAAAAAAAAAAA